Long non-coding RNA from Anguilla rostrata (American eel), 324 nucleotides. RefSeq lists it as uncharacterized. The record is from RefSeq and is a predicted model, not a curated record. NCBI's taxonomy places the organism in Eukaryota, Metazoa, Chordata, Actinopteri, Anguilliformes, Anguillidae. The transcript has 3 exons.
GUCCAAUUGCAGGUUCUUCACUCUCCCAUCCCUGGCACUCUCUCUCUCUCUCUCUCUCUUGUGUCAGCCUUGGAUGAACCCCAGUCCAUUUCUCCCUCCUCUCUCUAACGCUUGUCCCUUUCGCACACACACAGGCAGUGGCUCAGCCCACACAGGCAGUGGCUCCGCCCACACAGGCAGUGGCUUCGCCCACACAGGGAGUGGCUCCGCCCACACAGGCAGUGGCUCCGCCCACAGACCCGCCCCUCUCAGCAGUAGCUGCGGGUCUGGCCCUCGGUGUGGAUGGUCCAGUUGGGGCCCGGCAGGCUGCCCUGGCGGGUGAGC